CCUGCCGGCGACCGGCGCACCGGGUGAGUAACACGUAUGUAACCUGCCCUAUGCACGGGGGAUAAACCCCGGAGAAAUCCGGCCUAAUACCGCGUAACACCUUUUGGGAGCAUUCCCCGGGAGGUUAAAGGAGAGAUCCGGCAUAGGAUGGACAUGCGUCGCAUUAGGUAGACGGCGGGGUAACGGCCCACCGUGCCGACGAUGCGUAGGGGUUCUGAGAGGAGGGACCCCCCACACUGGUACUGAGACACGGACCAGACUCCUACGGGAGGCAGCAG
RNAcentral lists this ribosomal RNA (278 nucleotides) under uncultured bacterium. RNAcentral's name for it is "partial 16S ribosomal RNA". It matches the Rfam family "Bacterial small subunit ribosomal RNA", at positions 84 to 354 of the family's 1533-position model. The record is from RNAcentral.